AGAAUGAACGCUGGCGGCAUGCCUAACACAUGCAAGUCGAACGAAGCCUUCGGGCUUAGUGGCGCACGGGUGCGUAACGCGUGGGAAUCUGCCCUUGGGUUUGGAAUAACAGUUAGAAAUGACUGCUAAUACCAAAUGAUGUCGUAAGACCAAAGAUUUAUCGCCCAAGGAUGAGCCCGCGUAGGAUUAGCUAGGUUGGUGAGGUAAAAGCUCACCAAGGCGACGAUCCUUAGCUGGUCUGAGAGGAUGAUCAGCC
Molecule: ribosomal RNA, 256 nt
Filed under: uncultured soil bacterium
Lineage: Bacteria
Description: partial 16S ribosomal RNA
Rfam family: Bacterial small subunit ribosomal RNA
Source: RNAcentral